RNAcentral lists this unclassified non-coding RNA (174 nucleotides) under uncultured Hypocreales. RNAcentral's name for it is "sequence contains ITS1". The record is from RNAcentral. Lineage: Eukaryota; Fungi; Ascomycota; Sordariomycetes; Hypocreales.
CCGAGUUUACAACUCCCAAACCCCCUGUGAACCUAUACCUCACACCGUUGCUUCGGCGGGCUCUCCCCUCGCCCCGGGACAGGAAUGCCCCGGGAACAGGCGCCCGCCGGGGGACCCAAACUCUUGUAUCUUGCCCUAUGGAAUGUCUGAGUGGAAUCAUUACAGAAUGAAUCA